Molecule: ribosomal RNA, 225 nt
Filed under: uncultured Turicibacter sp.
Lineage: Bacteria; Bacillati; Bacillota; Erysipelotrichia; Erysipelotrichales; Turicibacteraceae
Description: partial 16S ribosomal RNA
Rfam family: Bacterial small subunit ribosomal RNA
Source: RNAcentral
CGCGCAGGUGGUUGAUUAAGUCUGAUGUGAAAGCCCACGGCUUAACCGUGGAGGGUCGUUGGAAACUGGUCGACUUGAGUGCAGAAGAGGGAAGUGGAAUUCCAUGUGUAGCGGUGAAAUGCGUAGAGAUCUGGAGGAAUACCGAUUGCGAAGGCAGCCCCCUGGACAGAGACUGACGCUCAAAUGCGAAAGCGUGGGGAUCAAACAGGAUUAGAUACCCCGGUA